This 455-nucleotide ribosomal RNA is filed under the name uncultured bacterium. RNAcentral describes it as "bacterial SSU rRNA". It matches the Rfam family "Bacterial small subunit ribosomal RNA", at positions 376 to 824 of the family's 1533-position model. The record is from RNAcentral.
GGCAACCCUAUCCCAGCAAUGCCGCGAAGAUGAAGAAGGCCUUCGGGUUGUAAAGCUCUUUUGUCAGGGAAGAAACAACAUCUCUAACACAGUGUGCGAAUGACGGUACCUGAAGAAUAAGCACCGGCUAACUACGUGCCAGCAGCCGCGGUAAUACGUAGGGUGCGAGCGUUAAUCGGAAUUACUGGGCGUAAAGCGUGCGCAGGCGGUUAUACAAGACAGGCGUGAAAUCCCCGGGCUUAACCUGGGAACGGCGUCUGUGACUGUAUAGCUAGAGUGUGUCAGAGGGGGGUGGAAUUCCACGUGUAGCAGUGAAAUGCGUAGAUAUGUGGAGGAACACCAAUGGCGAAGGCAGCCCCCUGGGAUAACACUGACGCUCAUGCACGAAAGCGUGGGGAGCAAACAGGAUUAGAUACCCUGGUAGUCCACGCCCUAAACUAUGAAAUCUAGUGUUG